ACGGAAGGCAGCAGUGGGGAAUAUUGCACAAUGGGCGCAAGCCUGAUGCAGCGAUGCCGCGUGAGGGAAGAAGGUUUUCGGAUUGUAAACCUCUGUCAUCGGGGACGAUAAUGACUGUACCCGAGAAGGAAGCUCCGGCUAACUACGUGCCAGCAGCCGCGGUAAUACGUAGGGAGCGAGCGUUAUCCGGAAUUACUGGGUGUAAAGGGAGCGUAGACGGUAUGGCAAGUCUGAAGUGAAAUGCAUGGGCUCAACCCAUGAACUGCUUUGGAAACUGUCAAACUAGAGUGCAGGAGAGGUAAGUGGAAUUCCUAGUGUAGCGGUGAAAUGCGUAGAUAUUAGGAGGAACACCAGUGGCGAAGGCGGCUUACUGGACUGUAACUGACGUUGAGGCUCGAAAGCGUGGGGAGCAAACAGGAUUAGAUACCCUGGUA
RNAcentral lists this ribosomal RNA (434 nucleotides) under uncultured Clostridium sp. RNAcentral's name for it is "partial 16S ribosomal RNA". It matches the Rfam family "Bacterial small subunit ribosomal RNA", at positions 341 to 792 of the family's 1533-position model. The record is from RNAcentral. Lineage: Bacteria; Bacillati; Bacillota; Clostridia; Eubacteriales; Clostridiaceae.